RNAcentral lists this ribosomal RNA (598 nucleotides) under uncultured Methanogenium sp. RNAcentral describes it as "bacterial SSU rRNA". It matches the Rfam family "Archaeal small subunit ribosomal RNA", at positions 1 to 583 of the family's 1478-position model. Lineage: Archaea; Methanobacteriati; Methanobacteriota; Methanomicrobia; Methanomicrobiales; Methanomicrobiaceae. The record is from RNAcentral.
UGGCGCAUGCUUUCCGGCCGCCAUGGACUCGCGGGAUUUGUGGGUGAUCCUGGCGGUAGGUCACUGCUAUCGGGGGUCGAUUAAGCCAUGCCAGUCAAGAUGGGUUCAGACCCUCGGCGGACUGCUCAUAACGCGUGGAUAACCUGCCCUAUAGGUGGAGGUAUAACCCCGGGAAACUGGGGAUAAUACUCCAUAGAUUAGAGAUACUGGAAUGUUUUCUAGUCGAAAGUUCCGGCGCCUUAGGAUGGAUCUGCGGUCGAUUAGGUUGUUGUGGGGUAACGGCCCAACAAGCCUGUAAUCUAUACGGGUUGUGGGAGCAAGAGCCCCGAGAUGGAAUCUGAGACACGAUUCCAGGCCCCUACUGGGCCCAACAGGCGCCAAAAACUUUUCAUGCAGGCCACUGUGAUAGGGGAACCCCAGUGCCCGAUACACGGGCUGUCAGUGUUUUAAAACCAUCUUAAGAAAAGGCCGGCAAAACCGUGGCAUCCCCCGCGGUAAUACCCCGGCUUUGUGGAGGCCCUUUUUUUGGGCUAAUGCGCCCCAAGCUGGCUUUAAGACUUUUGGGAAUCCCCCGGUUAACCCGGGGGGUCUUAAAAAA